RNAcentral lists this ribosomal RNA (787 nucleotides) under uncultured archaeon. Its description in RNAcentral is "bacterial SSU rRNA". It matches the Rfam family "Archaeal small subunit ribosomal RNA", at positions 84 to 872 of the family's 1478-position model. The record is from RNAcentral.
UACGGCUCAGUAACACGUAGUCAACCUACCCUAUGGACGGGAAUAACCUCGGGAAACUGAGUAUAAUGCCCGAUAGAACACUAUACCUGGAAUGGUUUGUGUUCCAAAUGAUUUAUCGCCAUAGGAUGGGACUGCGGCCUAUCAGUUUGUUGGUGAGGUAAUGGCCCACCAAGACUAUUACAGGUACGGGCUCUGAGAGGAGUGGCCCGGAGAUGGGUACUGAGACACGGACCCAGGCCCUAUGGGGCGCAGCAGGCGAGAAAACUUUGCAAUGUGCGAAAGCACGACAAGGUUAAUCCGAGUGGUUUCUGCUAAAGGAACCUUUUGACAGUCCUAGAAACACUGUUGAAUAAGGGGUGGGCAAGUUCUGGUGUCAGCCGCCGCGGUAAAACCAGCACCUCAAGUGGUCAGGAUGAUUAUUGGGCCUAAAGCAUCCGUAGCCGGCUCUGUAAGUUUUCGGUUAAAUCUGUACGCUUAACGUACAGGCUGCUGGGAAUACUGCAGAGCUAGGGAGCGGGAGAGGUAGACGGUACUCGGGAGGAAGUGGUAAAAUGCUUUGAUCUCUCGAUGACCACCUGUGGCGAAGGCGGUCUACCAGAACACGUCCGACGGUGAGGGAUGAAAGCUGGGGGAGCAAACCGGAUUAGAUACCCGGGUAGUCCCAGCUGUAAACUAUGCAAACUCAGUGAUGCACUGGCUUGUGGCCAGUGCAGUGUUGCAGGGAAGCCGUUAAGUUUGCCGCCUGGGAAGUACGUACGCAAGUAUGAAACUUAAAGGAAUUGGCGGA